AGGGGGCUAGCUUAUAUAAAGUUUGAGUCUCAUAAACUUAAGAAGCAGGUUGUGCGUCCCCUA
This 63-nucleotide transfer RNA is filed under the name Hiatella sp. J HML-2015. RNAcentral describes it as "tRNA-Met". Lineage: Eukaryota; Metazoa; Mollusca; Bivalvia; Adapedonta; Hiatellidae. The record is from RNAcentral.